Molecule: long non-coding RNA, 3561 nt
Organism: Camelus dromedarius (Arabian camel)
Lineage: Eukaryota; Metazoa; Chordata; Mammalia; Artiodactyla; Camelidae
Exons: 4
Source: RefSeq, a predicted model, not a curated record
UUGAGAGCAGUGGAGAGGAAAAUGGUCCCCACGGGCGGACUUUGGCUUCUGGAGCCGCGGGGCUCGUCCGUCCGUGCCGCCCAGAGCCUCCGUCUGCUCCUUUCCCCGGACUUCCAGAAGGAAGAAUUACCCUCCUCACCCUUCCCCCGCCUCCCCACACCCAUCCUCCCUCGCCCGCCGGCCCCUUUCCGCACCUCCUUUUCCCUUUAAGUGAGAAAAGCCUAGUUCCCGAGCCAGCGGAGUCGGUCCCCUCGCCCCUCCCGCUCCCAUGCCGGUCCCCCCCUCCAGCCAUCGCUACUGCCACCACCUCGGUUCCACUCAAUCGAUUUUUGCUGCAUGUCAACAUUUAUUACCGAAGAGCUAAGAGAAGUUCAGACUCAUUGGACCCUCCCUGAUCAGGCUAUGUGUCUGCAUCCCCUGACUUUGAUGGAUCCUUCUAGAGCCAGUUCUCCUAUUCUUCCUGCAAAAAUGUUUAAGGUUAGUAGGAGCAGCUGCAGUUCCAGAAGGAGUCGCUGCCCACAGGGUCCGGAACAUAGUUUGGGCGGACAUCUCCGGGAAUCCGCCGCCAGCCCUGACGCUCUGGGUGGACCCUGGGAGGCAAGGCUGUGUGGGUAAAGAAUGGAGCACCCCAGGCCGCCAGGAGCCAGAGGCGAGCCGCGAGGAGGGUGACACAGGGGAUGCGGGUCCUGAUCCCGAGACAGACUCUGAGCAAAGCCCCGGCCAGCGAUCUGGCUGAAAUCCCAGGCUCAGGUGCCAGCCUAGCCCCCACUCCCCCGGACCCUGUCACUCCUACUCUCUGACCUAUUUGUUUCUUUAAACAUGAAUAUUAGAACGUUACAGUGGUACUUCAGCACUGACUUAUGUGCCCAGUCAAAUGUACAGAACAUAUGAAAAGAUAACAGCUGGAGAAGCAGUGAACCUCCUGAAUUCUUGUGCCCUCACCUGGAAACAUUAGCAAAUCCCUGAAAAGGAAGGUCAUUUCCUUCCUGUAUCCCGUCUCUUUCCUUCUCCCUCAUUCAAGAAAAGAGAGAAAGUAGGUGCAAACAAGAGAAAGAUGUGAUGUUACAAGAGCUUUCAGGAAUUGCCAACCAACGCGAAGAAAAAUUCUUGUACCUCUUAAGAAGACUGGUGUAUUUCUAUGCAAAAUAGCUGCUUUACUCAAAAUAGAGUGCCUAACCUAUAGUAACUUCUCAGCAAAUAUUUUUUGAGCAGGUAACCCCCUCCCCUUGGACCCUCCUUCUGACCUGUUCAUUGAAGCAGCACCAUUUUUACUGAGAGCAUUCACCCGAAUCUUUGUAUUUAGGUGUGCAAUCAAGUAGCCGUGGUGGUGUGUAUGUCUGGGGUGAACUCUGCCUCAUUCCACUACUCUUAUGCUCAUGUCUUAGCUUCUUCAAGGUCACCUGCUAUUCACAGCCUGUAUAGUGAUCCUGAGAGUUUCAGGGGAUGGGGGAGAGAGGCAACUGAGAUAUUGGGGAACACGGUUUUCAGACAAUCAGCAAGGCAUCAAGCAUGUGGUGAGUACUAUGCAUGUGUAUUAGUUGGAUAUUAAACAGUUCCAGAAGAAAUGGCUUUGAGCUUAAGAUGUAGUUAAAGGAUGUCAUCACUUCAUGUAGUGUCAAUGCUCUAACUUUAGUGCAUUCAAUAUUCUAUGUGGUUCUCUUAGAGCAACAGAGCCCAAGUUUGUCAUCACUCAGCUUUGUGUUACCCCUCUUCCCCAAGAAAAAGAGAAUUGACUCAAAUGUUCUAUCAGUUAGCUCCUCAGAGAGAAUGAACACAUCAAAGCAAAUAAAUAAAAAGAGGUAUGAAUCAUACUCAGUUGCCCUCCAGUGACUUAGAGACAUAGAAAAACAUAGGUAGAUAAAGGACAUUUACUUUUAAAGGUGUGCGUGGUUGGAAAAGGGGGUAUUAUAAAGGGUAUUGCAGUGCUCAAACUGUCUUCUCCCCCACCAAAUUACCAUGUUAUCUGACACCCUCAAUCUAUUUGUGUCCUGAGUAACAGACAGUUUGACCAAAAGGUCCUAGACUAGAGGGCUUGGGUGAUUGGAAACAAGUUUGACAAGAAAGGAAUCUGGGUGGGUAGAAGUGGAGAGAGGAUGAGGCCACAGUGGCUGGAGAAGCCCAGCAACUGUUAAGUCUCUGCCAGACCCUGCAUUCACAUGAAAUGCCUUGUCAGAGAACAGGGGAUUAGGAAGAGCUAUCAAUACAGCUUCAUGGGUGGGAGAAAUUUACACAUCUCUCCACAUCCCUUUUCUUUGCCUUCCCUUUAUUUACUACCUUCUUCGUGUCCUCCUCCUUUUUGCCCUUCUCCCAUCUCAGGAGACUCUCCCCAGAAUUCUAAAUGCUCCUGGAUUAUCCUUGGCUUGUCCCCUCUUUUGAGUUAAGACUUCAGAUUGUUUGCAGUGUUUACUCUUCCAGAUAUGAAACGUUGUUUUAUCCAAUCCAGAAUUUACCUGUAAACCAUUUGUAUUCAUAAAUAUGGAGUGCUUGUAUAAAUAAUAAAGGUGUCAGGGCCAGUAAGUAAAGCAUGCAAUAUGGGAAUCUGUAUUUUCAUAGCAACAGAGGGACUGUACUUUGCACGUUCUUUAAUAAAGCCCCACUGCAUGUUGGGUAUCCUGGAAGGGUCAGUGAGCACACUCCUUUCAUUCCAGGCAACAUUACCCUUAGCAUUAUGACUACCAAAGUGGUAAAUCUCAGCUUAGUUUACUAUUCUUAGUGUGGAAGCUCCUUCUCUGCCUGAAAUCACCACCUGUAGAUUUGCAUACAUUGUCAAAAUUAUGUGUUCCUGGAGAAGACAGAUACCGUCCUGUGUAGAGUUUAUGUGCUAAUAUAAGUUCCUUUCUGCAUCUUUCCAUAUAAAAGUAUUUCUCUUUCUUGUGUUAUGUCCUAUUGUUAUUAGCUCAAGCAGUAUUUUAUAGAGGUUUUUCUUCUUUUUAUGGUUGGAAAACACCUUUAUUGUCAUUCUGUAACUUUCAGAUUAGGACUUGGUAGAAAGACUUCUUCCUCCACAGAAGAGCUGCCACAUUUCUAUCCUCCUUUGAUUUCUUUUUUUUCUAAUUUCUUCCAACAUCUCUCCCAGAUGUAAGUCUAAAUCUCACAUCUCUCUCCCUUUUUAAUUUUUAAAAUUUCAGUUCUGGGCACUCAUUUUUCCCAUACCUGAAAAUUAUCCCUUGUCCAUACUACUCCUUUGUCGUUUACUAUGUGGAGCAUUUUAAUGAAUUAACAUUUGGGGGAUCAUUUUCUUUUAGGUUUUUUAUGGGAGCCUGGCAUAACAGUUGGCAAACAGUAGAUGUUCAAUAAAUGCCAACUGAUCAAACAGUAUAAUUAAAACUUUGUUCACAAAAAUCAAAGAUCAAAGACAUUAAAAUCUAUUUAAUUGGCAUGAAUUAAACUUCAGAUUAAUUCUAAUUAAUUUCUAAUAUUUUCUCAAUAAAUCAGAUAUUUGAAAGAAUUCUAUAGAAAAAAUUUCAGCUUAAACUUUUUUACCACCACUUCAUCUUUAUGUGAGAAUUUUUAGGAUAAUAAUUCAUAUUGUUCAUCAUUUUCAUUAAUGUUCAUAAGACA